This 504-nucleotide ribosomal RNA is filed under the name uncultured bacterium. RNAcentral describes it as "bacterial SSU rRNA". It matches the Rfam family "Bacterial small subunit ribosomal RNA", at positions 376 to 896 of the family's 1533-position model. The record is from RNAcentral.
CGCAAGCGUGACCCAGCGACGCCGCGUGGAGGACGAAGUCCUUCGGGAUGUAAACUCCUGUCAGGGGAAAGAAAGUUCUGAUCUACCCCAGAGGAAGGCACGGCUAACUCUGUGCCAGCAGCCGCGGUAAGACAGAGGUGCCAAGCGUUAGGCGGAAUCACUGGGCUUAAAGCGUGUGUAGGCGGAGCGUUAAGUGCCUUGUGAAAUCCCACGGCUCAACCGUGGAACUGCUGGGCAUACUGGCGUUCUUGAGCCACCUAGGGGCGAGCGGAACAAACGGUGGAGCGGUGAAAUGCGUAGAUAUCGUUUGGAACGCCGAUGGUGAAAACAGCUCGCUGGGGGUGUGCUGACGCUGAGACACGAAAGCCAGGGGAGCAAACGGGAUUAGAUACCCCGGUAGUCCUGGCCGUAAACGAUGUCCACUAGAUCGAGGUGGCUCUGACGCCGUCUCGGUCGAAGCAAAAGUGCUAAGUGGACCGCCUGGGAAGUACGGUCGCAAGGCUA